This 492-nucleotide ribosomal RNA is filed under the name uncultured bacterium. Its description in RNAcentral is "partial 16S ribosomal RNA". It matches the Rfam family "Bacterial small subunit ribosomal RNA", at positions 29 to 507 of the family's 1533-position model. The record is from RNAcentral.
AGUGAACGCUGGCGGUAGGCCUAACACAUGCAAGUCGAACGGCAGCACAGUAAGAGCUUGCUCUUACGGGUGGCGAGUGGCGGACGGGUGAGGAAUACAUCGGAAUCUACUUUUUCGUGGGGGAUAACGUAGGGAAACUUACGCUAAUACCGCAUACGACCUACGGGUGAAAGCAGGGGAUCUUCGGACCUUGCGCGAUUGAAUGAGCCGAUGUCGGAUUAGCUAGUUGGCGGGGUAAAGGCCCACCAAGGCGACGAUCCGUAGCUGGUCUGAGAGGAUGAUCAGCCACACUGGACCUGAGACACGGUCCAGACUCCUACGGGAGGCAGCAGUGGGGAAUAUUGGACAAUGGGCGCAAGCCUGCUCCAGCCAUACCGCGUGGGUGAAGAAGGCCUUCGGGUUGUAAAGCCAUUUUGUUGGGAAAGAAAAGCAGCAGGUUAAUACCCCGCUGUUCUGACGGUACCCAAAGAAUAAGCACCGGCUAACUUCGUG